RNAcentral lists this ribosomal RNA (253 nucleotides) under uncultured bacterium. Its description in RNAcentral is "partial 16S ribosomal RNA". It matches the Rfam family "Bacterial small subunit ribosomal RNA", at positions 524 to 776 of the family's 1533-position model. The record is from RNAcentral.
GACGAACCGUACGAACGUUAUUCGGAAUCACUGGGCUUAAAGGGUGCGUAGGCUGCGCAGCAAGUUGGGUGUGAAAUCCCUCGGCUUAACCGAGGAACUGCGCCCAAAACUGCUGUGCUCGAGGGAGAUAGAGGUGAGCGGAACUUAGGGUGGAGCGGUGAAAUGCGUUGAUAUCCUAAGGAACACCGGUGGCGAAAGCGGCUCACUGGAUCUCUUCUGACGCUGAGGCACGAAAGCUGGGGUAGCGAACGGG